Molecule: transfer RNA, 87 nt
Filed under: Oedocladium carolinianum
Lineage: Eukaryota; Viridiplantae; Chlorophyta; Chlorophyceae; Oedogoniales; Oedogoniaceae
Description: tRNA-Ser
Rfam family: tRNA
About the family: Transfer RNA (tRNA) molecules are approximately 80 nucleotides in length. Their secondary structure includes four short double-helical elements and three loops (D, anti-codon, and T loops).
Source: RNAcentral
GGAAAGAUGGCUGAGUGGUCUAAGGCGUGGAUCUGGAACGUCCAAGUAAUUAGUAAAUUACCGAGGGUUCGAAUCCCUCUCUUUCCU